GGCGUUCGUCCCUCCUACAACGUCCGCAGCCUGCGCCGCGCGGUGGCUCUGGACUAGGCCUUUUCCUCUGGGUUGUGGAUCCUCUUCUCUAUGACUCCGUCCGAUCCCUAGUCUUUCUUCCAAAACAUCAUGAAACCCCCCCUCCAGGAGCCUUUCAUGCUUCUCUGUGUCUCAGUUUCCUCUUCUAUAACGUGGACGUAACAUGUUAUUCCCUCCAUAGCAGUGCUCCAUAUGUUUAGUUAUGAUUGUUGCUAUUAUUAAUAUUAUUGCUCUAUUAAUCCUGCUUGGCAGGACCUCUAGAUGACUUAAACAUCUCUGGCUUCACUGAUGGGGACACACACCAGCUCAGAGAGGUCAAGGGACUUGGCUCAAGUUUUAAAAAAUGAGUCAGAGGCCCGCUGGAUUGUAUUUUUCAUUCAUUCAUUCAUUCAACAAAUACUGAGCACCUAGCUGGGAAUACAGUGGCCAACAAGAAGUCCCUGCUCUCCUGGAGCUGACUUUUCAGCUCUGAAACUCUGAGCUCCUCUCCACCGUUCCAGCACUGGACACCAGGCCUGUUACCCAGAAGGAGCCGGCACAGGCGCAGGAACCAUCAGGCGAGCAGGAGCAGUUGGGGUCCAUUUAGAGGCAGGGAGAAGCAGGAGUUCCUGAUCAAGAGGCAAACACUCAGCGGGACAGAUGAAAAGCGUGCCUUAAUUACCUCUUUAAAGGACCUAUUUCCAAAUAUGGUCACAUUGGGGGCUAGGGCUUCAAUGUAUGGAUUUGGGUGGAGCAGGGCAUAAUUCAGUCCAUAACAGGGUCCACAGACCUCAUGUAAACACUGCUGCUGGGCAAAGGAGGCCAGCUGACUGUUGGGACCUGAAAGUGACAUGGUUAGAACUGCGUUUCAGAAGGACGCUUGUGGACCGUGUUGGUCUAUGAGUUCUGCUCUCCUGUGCCCCUCUGACCACUAAACUAUGUGUCCCCCUAAGCCAGCUGCUUCUCCUUUCAGGGCCUCAAGCAAAACAUGUAGAACAUCUCCCUAAGGACUCUUCUAGUCUAGAGCCCUCUGAUUUUUUUUUUUUUUUUUUUUGAGACAGAGCCUUGCUCUGUCGCCAGGCUGGAGUGCAGUGGCAUGAUCUUGGCUCACCGCAACUUCCACCUCCCAGGUUCAAGCAGGUCUCCUGCCUCAGCCUCCCAAGUAGCUGGGACUACAGGCGCAUGCCACCACGCCUAGCUAAUUUUUGUAUUUUUAGUAGAGACAAGGUUUCACCAUGUUGGCCAGGACGGUCUCAAUCUCCUGACCUCGUGAUCUGCCCGCCUCGGCCUCCCAAAGUGCUGGGAUUACAGGCAUGAGCCACUGUGCCCGGCCUAGAGCCCUGUGAUUAAUCCACUCAUUUCUUCUUGGUUUGGUCUCCCCACAAAUAUUUAUUAAAAACCUCUUGGACAAGGUCCCCACAAGACCUUGAGAGGACUCCACAAGGCAGGGACACAGUCACCAACUUGACAGAGUGGAUGGGAGGCCCAGGUGGGCAGACACACAGGCCGAGCUGGGGUGAGAAUGAGGCAUGGAGAGCCCUGCCUGAGGAUCCUGGGUAGGUGUGGGGCGGGAGGUCAGCUAGGACACCAGGCUUAAAAUCCUCUUGGCUCCUAGAAUAACACCCACCCCUCCCUCAGCAUGGCCUGGCACCAGGAGUGCUCCACUCCCACCUGGAAUGCUUGCUCUGCCUCCUAGCAGUCCUUCCACCAGGCUCACUGGCUUUAGGGAUUCUCCAAGCUGGAGCCACAGCCAGUUAAUCAAGUCAGGUCAAGGGCACCAGCCUCGCCACCAAGCUCAGUGGUCAAUUCUCCAUCCUCAGAUCACCUGACCCUGGGAUCAUUCCCAGGUGACUGGAUGGAUGGUGGUGCCCCUAACUGUGGGGGAAGCAUGGAGGAAGCGCACAGGGUCAGAGGAGGAGCCCCUGGGGAGUGAGGGAGGGUGGGGGGCUGCCCAGAGAGGACACACUCACAGCAGAUGUUGGAAUGUAAAGCGCAGGUGAGCGGCCUGAGUGAAGCUGGACAUUACUGACGGCGGAGGGACCAAGCCUGAAGCAAUGGGUGUAGACAGAUGAGAGGUCCGGAUGCUGUGGACAGACAGCAGAGCCUUGGAUGCCACCUGGGCAAUGACAACGACGAGGUCAGACCCAGGAGAGGCAGAAGAACCGGAAACCCCCUCCUCCAGCCCGCCCUGAGGCUCAUGUUUGGUGUGCAGGGAGGCUUGCCCAAAUCCCAGGGAAGCAUCUGAGGGGAUGACCUCUGGCCAUCAAGUCCACAUGGGUCACCCUCCAUUGUCCUCAGCCCUGACCACUGGCUGCUGCGGCUUAUAGGCUUAUCAAGACCCUGCAUUACUGACUGCCAGAAGCGAGGCCUAGACCCCACCCAUCUGGGAUGCCCCAGAUAGGUUCUAUCCUCAUCUGCCCCCCUGCCACAGGUUAGCAGGACGAGGCCAAGUGCCAUGAUCUGAACGUCCUGCCAGAUUCACAUGUUGAAGUUUAAUCACCACUGUGACAGUAUUAACAGGUGGGGCCUUCAGGGAAUGACUAAGUCAUGAGGGCAGAGCCCUCACGAUGGGAUUAGUGAUGUUAUGGAAAGGCGUGAGGGGCCAGUUCAUCCCAUCCACGGUGUGAAGACACAGCCUUCACGAUGGAGCAGCAACAAGGCAAUGUCUUGGAAGUGGAGACUGGGCCCUCACCAGACACCAAGCUUGAUGGUGCCUUGAGCUUGGACUUCUAAGCCUCCAGAAAUGUGGGAAAUACAUUUCUGUUGCUUAUAAAUCACUCAGUCUGUGGUAUGGUAUAUAGCAGCACAAGGGAACUAAGACACCAAAGCAAAGAGAAGGCUAACUUCUUGGCUUCUGGCUUCCCGAACAACUGUCCCAGCCCUGGGUGGCUGCACUGGUUGCAGAUGGUUCUACUGACUCCAUCCUCUUUGGUAUCUUUUUAGUAUGAUACCUGGAUUGUCUUUUGACCUUAGAAUCUCAGGAUUUGUCAUUUUUGUUUAGCCCAUGUGACACCUCCCUGGUUUGUGAUUAGGCUGUAAGCUCCUUCAUGGGUGGGCCUCUUUUGUGUCUUGUGUGUGUCCCAGUGCCUCGGGGGUCACAGAUGCUCAGGGAAUGCUUGCUGAGAGUGAAUAGUCUCCCAGUCAGUUCCAGGUGUUCUAGGCCUUGUCAACGGGCCACAGCCCAUGUCCUCGGGCAGGAGCAUCCUCCCUCUCCCCAGGCUUCUGCUGGAAAGGAGCCCUCCUUCUCUUCCUUGCAGUAGGUGGGCAGACAGGCUCCCUGGUGGGUGCAGAACACACUCUGCUAGGACUUUUUGGCAUUUACUUAAGACAUGGGCUUGGCUUUGUGCAUUCCGACAGGCUCUGGACCCAGAGCCCAGCCCCAUGAGAAAGAUGGUAAUUUUCCCACAGCUGAGGGCUGGGGAAGGAAAGGCAGGGUGGCCUUUUGGGGAAUCACACCCAUCCAAUGGAUUAAACGAUUCUUGGCUGGUUCCAGCUAAGUUGCUAACCUGUGAGGCUGGCUGCCAUCAUUGCCAUUUUACUGAUAAAAUUGAGGCUCAGUGAGGCAGGAUGACUUGCUCCAGCUCAAAGUGACAGUCAGCUCCUGAACCUAGGUCUGCCCUGUCCUACUGCCUCUAAGUCCCUUCUGAGUCCACAGAACUACGUCUCAAAAAAUUGAAAUGGCAUCAAGCGUUUCCUUGGUUCCAAUCUUGAUCUGAUGCAUCUCUGUUAUUUCCUCCCAUGCAGGUGGUCAGACCCUGUUUGAACACUUCCAGCCGUGGGCAAAUCAUCACCUCACACAGCAUCCACUGACAUGCUGGCAGUGUUUGUGGGAAGAGAAGUAGUAAAGCCACUGAGACCAGAAGGUGGAACUUAGCUGGGAGUCUCUCCUUGGCCUGGGGGAGGUGAAAAGGCACAGAGCACUAAGACCCAGUCAUGUGCGGCAGCACCACGCAGAGGCCAGCCUGCAGGAUUUUCACGGGCAAAAUUUUGGUGGAUGCUUCCUCUCCUGCCUGGACGUGGGGGUGCUCAAAGCCUACCACUUCUAGGAACCUUUCUCAGGCCUCACGGGAGGAGUAAUGAAGGCAAAACCUUGGGCUGAGGUGCUGAUUCCUGCACUGUCUCCCCUUCCCCAGGCAGAUUUUCAAUUUACACCCGAAUGUGCAUAGGCCUCUGGCCCUUUAUUUAUUUGUUGGGAGAUGGAGUCUCGCUUUGUUGCCCAGGCUGGAGUGCAGUGGUGCAAUCUUGGCUCAAUGCAGCCUCCACCUGGGUUCAAGUGAUUCUCCUGCCUCAGCCUCCUGAGUAGCUAGGAUUACAGGCGUGCACCACCAUGCCUGGCUAAUUUUUGUAUCUGUAGUAGAGAAGGGGUUUUGCCAUGUUGGUCAGGCUGGUCUUGAACUCCUGACCUCAAGGGAUCCACCUGCCUUGGGCUCCCAAAGUAUUGGGAUUACGGGCGUGAGCCACCAUGCCCAGCCCACUGACCCUUUAGUAUCCAGAAAAGCAAGAACCCUGGCUGGGGAGUGCUGUGCUGGCCCUGCAGUGGAAGGCAGUAGCUGCCAACUUACUAUGUGCUGGGCGUUGUGCUGGCGCUUUUCACAUACAACUUCAAUUAACCCACAGGCUCCUAUAAGGUAGAAGCAACUACAUUUACAGAUGAGGAAGCUUGUAUCCAAGGUUAAGUAGUAAGUAGGGAAAAGCAGGAUUAAGCCAUAGGCCUUCGGAGCUUCGGGACUGCGUUCCAAACCAUCAUCUGCUGUGCCUCUUCAUGCCCCUGGGGCCCUGUGUCUUCAUCUUUGCUUAGGGGGCCAGGGAAGAUGCAAAUGUCGUCCUGGCCCCUGGGCCUCUGCUCCAAGCUCAUGACCACUCUUGGAUGUCCAUUGCAGGCUGGUACUGAGGCUCUGAAACACCAAGCCCUUCAAGCGUGAUGGAGGGAGCUGGUUUAUUAUUAAAUGGCAUUGUCCCCAAGGAGUGGCAACUCUCCACCUCUCCAUGAAAACACAACCUCCUAGAGAAGGUAUCUCUUUCCAACUACUGUGCCUUCAAUCUCCAACCUCAAUUGUUUCCCAUCAAGACAAUUUUUUUUUUUUUUGUAACAGGGUCUUACUUUGUCGCCCAGGCUGGCAUGCAGUGGCACAAUCAUGGCUCACUGCAGUCUUGACCUCCCUAGCUCAAGUGUGAUCUUCCCAUUCAGCCUCCUGAGUAGUUGGGACCACAAGCAUACACCACCAUGCUUGGGUAAAUUUUUUUUUUUUUAGAGAUGGGGUCUCACUAUAUUGCCCAGGCUGGUCUCAAACUCCUGGUCUAAGUGAUCCUCCUGCCUCAGCCUCCCAAAGUGGUGGGAUUACAGACAUGAGCCACUGUGAUUGACCUCUUUUUUUUUUUUUUGAGACAGUCUAACUCUGUUGCCCAGGCUGGAGUGCAGUGACACAAACUUGGCUCACUGCAACCUCUGCCUCCUGGGUUGGAGCAAUUCUCCUGCCUCAGCCUCCCAAGUAGUUGGGAUUACAGGUGCCUGCCACCAUGCCCGGCUAAUUUUUGUAUUUUUAGUAGAGACAGGGUUUCACUAUGUUGGCCAGGCUGGUAUCAAACUCCUGACCUUGUGAUCCGCCUGCCUCGGCCUCCCAAAGUGCUGGGAUUACAAGCGUGAGCCACUGCGCCCGGCCAGACCUCUUUUCUUUUUCUUUUUUUGCUAAUAAAACAGUUAAGACAAUUGUCCAUUUUAUUUGUUAAAUUGCUAAAAAGUCAUCAGGGGAAAACAUUAACAAAAAAU
RNAcentral lists this long non-coding RNA (5785 nucleotides) under Homo sapiens (human). RNAcentral describes it as "HSALNT0002221". Lineage: Eukaryota; Metazoa; Chordata; Mammalia; Primates; Hominidae. The record is from RNAcentral.